RNAcentral lists this ribosomal RNA (465 nucleotides) under Vreelandella stevensii. RNAcentral describes it as "partial 16S ribosomal RNA". It matches the Rfam family "Bacterial small subunit ribosomal RNA", at positions 338 to 795 of the family's 1533-position model. The record is from RNAcentral. Lineage: Bacteria; Pseudomonadati; Pseudomonadota; Gammaproteobacteria; Oceanospirillales; Halomonadaceae.
CCUACGGGCGGCAGCAGUGGGGAAUAUUGGACAAUGGGGGGAACCCUGAUCCAGCCAUGCCGCGUGUGUGAAGAAGGCCCUCGGGUUGUAAAGCACUUUCAGUGAGGAAGAACGCCUGGUGGUUAAUACCCAUCAGGAAAGACAUCACUCACAGAAGAAGCACCGGCUAACUCCGUGCCAGCAGCCGCGGUAAUACGGAGGGUGCGAGCGUUAAUCGGAAUUACUGGGCGUAAAGCGCGCGUAGGUGGCUUGAUAAGCCGGUUGUGAAAGCCCCGGGCUCAACCUGGGAACGGCAUCCGGAACUGUCAAGCUAGAGUGCAGAAGAGGAAGGUAGAAUUCCCGGUGUAGCGGUGAAAUGCGUAGAGAUCGGGAGGAAUACCAGUGGCGAAGGCGACCUUCUGGACUGACACUGACGCUGAGGUGCGAAAGCGUGGGUAGCAAACAGGAUUAGAUACCCGAGUAGUC